GGGGAAUAUUGGGCAAUGGACGCAAGUCUGACCCAGCAACGCCGCGUGAAGGAAGAAGGCUUUCGGGUUGUAAACUUCUUUUAAGGGGGAAGAGUAGAAGACGGUACCCCUUGAAUAAGCCACGGCUAACUACGUGCCAGCAGCCGCGGUAAUACGUAGGGCGCAAGCGUUGUCCGGAAUUAUUGGGCGUAAAGAGCUCGUAGGCGGUUUGUCGCGUCUGCUGUGAAAACCCGAGGCUCAACCUCGGGCCUGCAGUGGGUACGGGCAGACUAGAGUGCGGUAGGGGAGACCGGAAUUCCUGGUGUAGCGGUGGAAUGCGCAGAUAUCAGGAGGAACACCGAUGGCGAAGGCAGGUCUCUGGGCCGCAACUGACGCUGAGGAGCGAAAGCAUGGGUAGCGAACA
Molecule: ribosomal RNA, 403 nt
Filed under: uncultured bacterium
Lineage: Bacteria
Description: bacterial SSU rRNA
Rfam family: Bacterial small subunit ribosomal RNA
Source: RNAcentral